CAACUAGUUUUUCUUAAAACUACAAAAAUGUAAAAGUACAUUUUUU
Solenopsis invicta (red fire ant) is the source of this 46-nucleotide non-coding RNA. The record is from Rfam. Lineage: Eukaryota; Metazoa; Arthropoda; Insecta; Hymenoptera; Formicidae.